AUACGGAGGGUGCGAGCGUUAAUCGGAAUUACUGGGCGUAAAGGGUCCGCAGGCGGUCUGCUUAGUCUGAUGUGAAAGCCCCGGGCUUAACCUGGGAAUGGCAUUGGAUACUGGCGGACUAGAGUCUGGUAGAGGGUGGUGGAAUUCCCGGUGUAGCGGUGAAAUGCGUAGAUAUCCGGAGGAACACCAGUGGCGAAGGCGGCCACCUGGACCAAGACUGACGCUGAGGGACGAAAGCGUGGGGAGCGAACAGGAUUAGAAACCCCGGUAGUCC
RNAcentral lists this ribosomal RNA (274 nucleotides) under uncultured bacterium. Its description in RNAcentral is "partial 16S ribosomal RNA". It matches the Rfam family "Bacterial small subunit ribosomal RNA", at positions 523 to 796 of the family's 1533-position model. The record is from RNAcentral.